CGUGUAGGCGGUCGGGUAAGUCAGAUGUGAAAGCCUUCUGCUUAACAGAAGAAGUGCAUUUGAAACUGCUCGGCUGGAGUACGGGAGAGGAGAGUGGAAUUCCCGGUGUAGAGGUGAAAUUCGUAGAUAUCGGGAGGAACACCAGUGGCGAAGGCGGCUCUCUGGUCCGAUACUGACGCUGAGACGCGAAAGCGUGGGGAGCAAACAGGAUUAGAUACCCUGGUAGUCCACGCCGUAAACGAUGGGCACUAGGUGUAGGAGGUAUUGACCCCUUCUGUGCCGAAGCUAGCGCAUUAAGUGCCCCGCCUGGGGAGUACGGCCGCAAGGCUAAA
Molecule: ribosomal RNA, 332 nt
Filed under: uncultured bacterium
Lineage: Bacteria
Description: bacterial SSU rRNA
Rfam family: Bacterial small subunit ribosomal RNA
Source: RNAcentral